RNAcentral lists this ribosomal RNA (421 nucleotides) under uncultured Candidatus Saccharibacteria bacterium. RNAcentral describes it as "bacterial SSU rRNA". It matches the Rfam family "Bacterial small subunit ribosomal RNA", at positions 348 to 785 of the family's 1533-position model. Lineage: Bacteria; Candidatus Saccharimonadota. The record is from RNAcentral.
GCAGCAGUAGGGAAUUUUCCACAAUGGGCGAAAGCCUGAUGGAGCAACGCCGCGUGCAGGAUGAAGGCCUUCGGGUUGUAAACUGCUUUUAUAUGUGAAGAUUAUGACGGUAGCAUAUGAAUAAGGAUCGGCUAACUCCGUGCCAGCAGCCGCGGUCAUACGGAGGAUCCAAGCGUUAUCCGGAAUUACUGGGCGUAAAGAGUUGCGUAGGCGGCAUUGUAAGUAGGUAGUGAAAUCCUGGGGCUCAACCCUUUAAACAUUAUCUAAACUGCAAAGCUAGAAUAUAGAAGAGGUAGCUGGAAUUCCUAGUGUAGGAGUGAAAUCCGUAGAUAUUAGGAGGAACACCGAUGGCGUAGGCAGGCUACUGGUCUAUUAUUGACGCUAAGGCACGAAAGCGUGGGGAGCAAACGGGAUUAGAUAC